This 1293-nucleotide ribosomal RNA is filed under the name Halteria grandinella. RNAcentral describes it as "eukaryotic LSU rRNA". The stretch from base 517 to 1293 matches the Rfam family "Eukaryotic large subunit ribosomal RNA", at positions 1 to 840 of the family's 3401-position model. Lineage: Eukaryota; Ciliophora; Spirotrichea; Sporadotrichida; Halteriidae. The record is from RNAcentral.
GUCGUAACAAGGUUUCCGUAGGUGAACCUGCGGAAGGAUCAUUAACACUAAUCCAAUUCAACUCAACCAGGCCCUCAGUUGCAGCAGUGGUGCGUUCGCGUACAGCUGCUGCAGCAACUUUCAAAACUAAUCCAAACAAAGGAGCCUAACUAAGCUCAACCACUAAAACCAAAUUCUCAACGGUGGAUGUCUUGGUUCCCACAACGAUGAAGAACGCAGCGAAGUGCGAUAAGCAGUGCGAAUUGCAGAACCGUGAGUCAUCAGAUUUUUGAACGCAACUGGCGCCGUGUGGGGUCACCCACCGGCACGCCUGGUCCAGUGUCUUGUUCUCUCCUCACCCAAAUCUUAAUGCGAGAGAUGCCCUUCUCUUGCUAAGCAUGAAAGCACUCUGCGCUCUGCGAGCGGCCUUCGGGUCGCACUCAAUGCAGCAGUCACAUUGCUAACAGUGUGAACUCAUUGAGAGUGGACGCAGUGCAGCAACAGCUGCCAGUGCUUAGUCACAUCAACUUUGGAAGCGCAUCUGGGCUCAGGUGGGACCACCCGCUGAACUUAAGCAUAUCACUAAGCGGAGGAAAAGAAACUAACUAGGAUGGCCUCAGUAACGGCGAGUGAAGUGGCCAAAGCCCAAGAUGGUAAUCUCCGUGCUGCGCACGGCGAGUUGUAAUCUAGAGAGGCCAUGCUCAACGGGCGGUGGCGCAGAAGUGCCCUGGAACGGGCCGCCAGAGAGGGUGACAGCCCCGUACGUGGUGCCGCAGCCCAACGAGCAGGUCUUCGAAGAGUCGGGUUGUUUUGUAUUGCAGCCCCAAGUGGGAGAUAAACUUCUUCUAAGGCUAAAUAUAUGUGGGAAACCGAUAGCGAACAAGUACUGUGAAGGAAAGAUGAAAAGCACUUUGGAAAGAGAGUCAAAAGACCUGAAACCGUUGAGGAGGAAGCGGUAGAGAUGAAUUCUACGACGACGCGCGGGGCAACUUGUGCGGCGUUGUGAGGCCGGAUGGGGUGGCGUGGCUGCAGAGGCCUGUCUAGCUUGGCCUGAGCAGCUAGGCAGUGCUGGUGGCCGCGCGGCCUGAGGGUGCUUUGUGCGAUCCGGCCAAAAUGGUCUUUACCGACCCGUCUUGAAACACGGACCAAGGAGUCUAACGUACGCGCGAGUGUGCCGGUGGAGAAACCGUCACGCGCAAUGAAGGUGAGUGAUGCCAAGCGCAAGCAGCAGCAUCGACCGACCAUGAGCCUCUGGUGAAAGGUUUGAGUACGAGCGCGUCCGCUAGGACCCGAAAGAUGGUGAACUAUGCGUGA